AUGUUGGGUGGUGUCGUGAUUGCAGAGAGACAAGCCAGGAGUAUCCCGUGUCUUGACGGCAGUGCGGCUUGCGUGGGUUUGGGGUCGUGGGGCACCUGUGAGCCUUGUAGUGCUGUGUGCACGGACACCUCUGUGCAUCCUCGGAUGACAAAUAAAAUCUCGCUACUGUUCGUACGAGGAAGCCCUGAGACAGGAGAAGCAAAGGUGAACAAACGAUUCGAGAGACUCACAGAAUACACGGUCGCAGAGCAGAGGUUUGAAGUCGUUGUACUUUUAUUGCAACAUCUGGAAACCCAGGGACCCACGGGGAAGGAGGCGAGGGCUCCUCGCCGGGGCAUCACACACCCUGCGAAACCGCUCACGGCGCCAGUUGCUUGGCUUCCAGCGGCCUCCCUGGGCACGCCCGGGCUCCCCCCCACCCCCCCACCCCCCCAGGUGCAUCGCGUUGCUCAAAUACAGCUGGGCAACUCCGGGGACGCGGGGGCACAGACCACAGACGCCGUCGCCGCCGGGGGCCAGGAAGGCUUUGGUCGGCAGGUUGCUGUCGGCGGGCGGGCGGGCUCCCGGGACCGGCGGGUGCCCGGGCGGGGGCAGGGCGCCCCUAGGCCCGGGCGGCGCGGCCAGCAGGCGGUGGAGCCGGGCGGCCGCCCAGUGCAGGGGGGCGCCCGCGUGCGCCAGCUGCCAGGAGAGCCAGGCGCGCUGCGAGGCGGCGGGCUGCGGGCGGCCGCACGGCGCGGCCAGGAAGGCGCCCCCCGGGGCGCGCAGCUCGGCCAGGGCCACCUCCAGCGCGCCCAGCCGCCGCCACAGCCGGGGGCCCACGGCCGCCAGGGGCUCGCGCGCCUCGGGGCCCGGCGGGCGGCGGCGCUUCGGGGACGCGGGGCGGGGCUCGCGGGGGUCUCGGCGGCGUCCGCGGCCGGCGGGCCUGGCUGGCGCCCGGGCCGGGUGGUCCUGCCCGCGAGGCGCCGCGGACGCUGGGCAGCGCCUGCGCAGGGAGAGAGGACGGGGUGUCGGUGA
This 1014-nucleotide long non-coding RNA is filed under the name Canis lupus familiaris (dog). RNAcentral's name for it is "lncRNA (ENSCAFG00040016268.1)". Lineage: Eukaryota; Metazoa; Chordata; Mammalia; Carnivora; Canidae. The record is from RNAcentral.